CCUAGAGUUGUAGGCUUUGCCUGCUAUCUCUUACCCAUGUCUUUUGAGUACCUUACGUUUCCUCGGUGGGUUCGCCCACCGAUUGGACAGACUUAAACCCUUUGCAGUUGAAAUCAGCGUCUGAAAAAACUUAAUAGUUA
RNAcentral lists this unclassified non-coding RNA (140 nucleotides) under soil metagenome. RNAcentral's name for it is "partial internal transcribed spacer 1". The record is from RNAcentral.